AACGAACGCUGGCGGCAGGCUUAAUACAUGCAAGUCAAACGCCCCUUUCGGGGGGAGUGGCAGACGGGUGAGUAACGCGUGGGAACGUGCCCAAAGGUAGGGAACAACUCCGGGAAACUGGAGCUAAUACCCUAUGCGCCCGAGCGGGGAAAGAUUUAUCGCCUUUGGAUCGGCCCGCGUUGGAUUAGGUAGUUGGUGGGGUAAAAGCCUGCCAAGGCGACGAUCCAUAGCUGUUCUGAGAGGAAGAUCAGCCACACUGGGACUGAGACACGGCCCAGACUCCUACGGGAGGCAGCAGUAGGGAAUCUUGGACAAUGGGCGCAAGCCUGAUCCAGCCAUGCCGCGUGAGUGAUGAAGGCCUUAGGGUUGUAAAACUCUUUCGCAGGUGACGAUAAUGACGGUAACCUGAGAGGAAGCCCCGGCUAACUUCGUGCCAGCAGCCGCAGUAA
This 449-nucleotide ribosomal RNA is filed under the name uncultured bacterium. RNAcentral describes it as "partial 16S ribosomal RNA". It matches the Rfam family "Bacterial small subunit ribosomal RNA", at positions 29 to 523 of the family's 1533-position model. The record is from RNAcentral.